RNAcentral lists this ribosomal RNA (764 nucleotides) under uncultured bacterium. Its description in RNAcentral is "bacterial SSU rRNA". It matches the Rfam family "Bacterial small subunit ribosomal RNA", at positions 554 to 1321 of the family's 1533-position model. The record is from RNAcentral.
CUGGGCGUAAAGCKUGCGCAGGCGGAUUGUUAAGCAAGACGUGAAAGCCCCGGGCUUAACCUGGGAAUGGCGUUUUGAACUGGCAGUCUAGAGUGCGUCAGAGGGGGGUGGAAUUCCACGUGUAGCAGUGAAAUGCGUAGAGAUGUGGAGGAACACCAAUGGCGAAGGCAGCCCCCUGGGAUGACACUGACGCUCAUGUACGAAAGCGUGGGUAGCAAACAGGAUUAGAUACCCUGGUAGUCCACGCCCUAAACGAUGUCAACUGGUUGUUGGGGGAGUGAAAUCCCUUAGUAACGAAGCUAACGCGUGAAGUUGACCGCCUGGGGAGUACGGUCGCAAGAUUAAAACUCAAAGGAAUUGACGGGGACCCGCACAAGCGGUGGAUGAUGUGGAUAAAUUCGAUGCAACGCGAAAAACCUUACCUACCCUUGACAUGUCCAGGAUCCUGCAGAGAUGCGGGAGUGCCCGAAAGGGAAUUGGAACACAGGUGCUGCAUGGCUGUCGUCAGCUCGUGUCGUGAGAUGUUGGGUUAAGUCCCGCAACGAGCGCAACCCUUAUCAUUAGUUGCUACGCAAGGGCACUCUAAUGAGACUGCCGGUGACAAACCGGAGGAAGGUGGGGAUGACGUCAAGUCCUCAUGGCCCUUAUGGGUAGGGCUUCACACGUCAUACAAUGGUCGGUACAGAGGGUUGCCAAGCCGCGAGGUGGAGCCAAUCCCAGAAAGCCGAUCGUAGUCCGGAUUGUUCUCUGCAACUCGAGAGCAU